UACGUAGGCAGCGAGCGUUGUUCGGAAUUACUGGGCGUAAAGAGUGUGUAGGCGGCGCUCUAAGUUCGGUGUGAAACCUCUCGGCUUAACUGGGAGGGUGCGCCGGAAACUGGAGUGCUCGAAUGUGGGAGAGUAAAGCGGAAUUCCUGGUGUAGCGGUGAAAUGCGUAGAUAUCAGGAGGAACACCUGCGGUGUAGACGGCUUUCUGGACCAUUGUUGACGCUGAGACACGAAAGCGUGGGUAGCAAACAGG
Molecule: ribosomal RNA, 253 nt
Filed under: uncultured bacterium
Lineage: Bacteria
Description: partial 16S ribosomal RNA
Rfam family: Bacterial small subunit ribosomal RNA
Source: RNAcentral